GCAAGGAAUCUUGGGCAAUGGGCGAAAGCCUGACCCAGCGACGCCGCGUGGGGGAAGAAGGCCCUCGGGUUGUAAACCCCUUUUCUCAGGGAAGAAUAAUGACGGUACCUGAGGAAGAAGUCACGGCUAACUACGUGCCAGCAGCCGCGGUAAUACGUAGGUGGCAAGCGUUAUCCGGAAUUAUUGGGCGUAAAGAGAGCGCAGGCGGCUUUUCAAGUCGGAUGUGAAAGCUCCCGGCUCAACUGGGAGAGGUCAUCCGAGACUGUCAGGCUAGAGAGCAGCAGAGGGAGGUGGAAUUCCCGGUGUAGUGGUGAAAUGCGUAGAUAUCGGGAGGAACACCAGUGGCGAAGGCGGCCUCCUAGGCUGUUUCUAACGCUGAGGCUCGAAAGCGUGGGGAGCGAACAGGAUUAGAUACCCCAGUAGUCC
Molecule: ribosomal RNA, 426 nt
Filed under: uncultured bacterium
Lineage: Bacteria
Description: bacterial SSU rRNA
Rfam family: Bacterial small subunit ribosomal RNA
Source: RNAcentral